CCACGUCCCGACGCACUCCCCCCGGCGCCGGGACCACCCCAGCCGGGCUUCGGCACCCUCCCCCCCCCGGGUGCCGAAGCCCGGCUCUUCU
RNAcentral lists this non-coding RNA (91 nucleotides) under Streptomyces acidiscabies. RNAcentral describes it as "Streptomyces RNA 3202". It matches the Rfam family "Streptomyces RNA 3202". From Rfam's summary of the family: Identified by deep sequencing of transcriptome at the end of exponential growth phase. Appears smaller on northern blot than sequencing transcript. This indicates processing step. The record is from Rfam by way of RNAcentral. Lineage: Bacteria; Bacillati; Actinomycetota; Actinomycetes; Kitasatosporales; Streptomycetaceae.